AUGAUCAAACAGAGCACACCGGA
Molecule: non-coding RNA, 23 nt
Filed under: Arabidopsis thaliana (thale cress)
Lineage: Eukaryota; Viridiplantae; Streptophyta; Magnoliopsida; Brassicales; Brassicaceae
Source: RNAcentral